AUGGGGAAUUGAAAGAGAAGAUCUACAUGAUGCCGCCUGAAGGAUUUGAAUC
RNAcentral lists this small RNA (52 nucleotides) under Arabidopsis thaliana (thale cress). Its description in RNAcentral is "ATSL194720". Lineage: Eukaryota; Viridiplantae; Streptophyta; Magnoliopsida; Brassicales; Brassicaceae. The record is from RNAcentral.